This 68-nucleotide transfer RNA is filed under the name Marmota monax (woodchuck). RNAcentral's name for it is "tRNA.Ala". Lineage: Eukaryota; Metazoa; Chordata; Mammalia; Rodentia; Sciuridae. The record is from RNAcentral.
GGAUUGUGGCUUAGCGGUAGAGCACUUGCCUAGCACAUGGGAGGCUUUGGGUUCCAUUCUCAGCACCA